This 423-nucleotide small RNA is filed under the name Histoplasma capsulatum var. duboisii H88. RNAcentral describes it as "Histoplasma capsulatum H88 hypothetical RNA". Lineage: Eukaryota; Fungi; Ascomycota; Eurotiomycetes; Onygenales; Ajellomycetaceae. The record is from RNAcentral.
CCCCGUGGACACAAAAUAUAACUCGGAUUUCCGCUUGCACCCACUAAAAUUACCCAUUCGUGCAGAGGGGCUCUUCUGCAGACUGGCAACCGAAGAAUUGGAUGGGUAUAUACAGCUUUGUCCAGAUCCUUCAUUCAGAGAAUGUCAGGAGUAACUCUUUAGCUUAUGUUUAUUUAGAUAUAGAGUUGCCAAAGGAGGAAACCCUGGUUGAAUAAAGCCCCUGAAAAGCAUCAGAUAGAAGUCAAUAUCAGUGGUGGCAGAACAAACCCCGAAGGCUAUUUUAGAGCUUCUGAGCAAAAGCUCACUUGUUCCAUAUUUGGACUUUAAAAUUUCCAACAACAGAAAAUUAGAAUGUUUGAGAAUGCAAUGAUUGGUAGCUUCAAUGCCCACAGUGUUUUGCCCCCAGUUAAUCAAACAACGACU